AUGCAGUCAAUCAAGGGAUGCAUUUCUUACUCUUCACGAAGGAGCUCUGACUGCUUAGAUACGCACUCAAUGGCUUAUGGCAACUCGAGGUUGUGGUUGAAUCUUCGGAUUCGUUUCACUUCCUUGGGGUGGUUACAUUGAGUGGAGUUGAGCAGGUGAAGAACUCAUUGUACGCAGUGAGUGAUUUAGAUUGUCGAUGUGACUUGCUUGCCAAGUGCUUGGUGAGAGGGUAACUUCGUCUUCUUGUAGCUGAAGUCCUUCUCGCUAUAGGUGCUUAAGUGUAGGCUUUUCAGCAUCAAUGAUGAUCCAGAGUAAGUAGGUCGGUCAUCCAUCUGACCCGUCUUGAAACACGGACCAAGGAGCCCAGCAACUGUGCGAGUCGCACAGUCUUGAAUAGGCUUGUGAGGCGUAAUAAACAUGAUGGUAUGAUACUGUCCCUCUUCACGCACAGAGUGAAGAUACAGUCGCAAUGCCGACCUGCUUCAUCUGCCUUUAUUGACAGAGAAGCGGAGUUUGAGCAUAGUUGCUGGUACCCGAAAGAUGGUGAACUAUACUUGGGCAAGACGAAGCCAGAGGAAACUCUGGUGGAGGUCUGUAGCGAUUCUGACGUGCAAAUCGAUCGUCAGACCUGAGUAUAGGGGCGAAAGACUAAUCGAACCAUCUAGUAGCUGGUUCCUUCCGAAGUUUCCCUCAGGAUAGCUGGCACAAGCAGUACUCUGUAGCACUCGGUAAAGCGAAUGAUUAGAGGUAUUGGGAUCGAAACGAUCUCAACCUAUUCUCAAACUUUAAAUGGGUGCGGAGCUUGACUUAUUUGGAGUAAAGUCUUGCUUUGUAAGAGUUGUGCCAAGUGGGCCAUUUUUGGUAAGCAGAACUGGCGCUGUGGGAUGAACCAAACACUGAGUUAAAGUACCUAAUGUGGACGCUCAUGAGACC
RNAcentral lists this ribosomal RNA (933 nucleotides) under Lebertia porosa aggr. sp. A TE-2023a. Its description in RNAcentral is "partial 28S ribosomal RNA". It matches the Rfam family "Eukaryotic large subunit ribosomal RNA", at positions 438 to 1211 of the family's 3401-position model. Lineage: Eukaryota; Metazoa; Arthropoda; Arachnida; Trombidiformes; Lebertiidae. The record is from RNAcentral.